Molecule: ribosomal RNA, 519 nt
Filed under: uncultured bacterium
Lineage: Bacteria
Description: partial 16S ribosomal RNA
Rfam family: Bacterial small subunit ribosomal RNA
Source: RNAcentral
GACGAACGCUGGCGGCGUGCCUAAUACAUGCAAGUCGAGCGAGUCUGCCUUGAAGAUCGGAGUGCUUGCACUCUGUGAAACAAGAUACAGGCUAGCGGCGGACGGGUGAGUAACACGUGGGUAACCUGCCCAAGAGAUCGGGAUAACACCUGGAAACAGAUGCUAAUACCGGAUAACAACAGAUGAUGCCUAUCAACUGUUUAAAAGAUGGUUCUGCUAUCACUCUUGGAUGGACCUGCGGUGCAUUAGCUAGUUGGUAGGGUAACGGCCUACCAAGGCGAUGAUGCAUAGCCGAGUUGAGAGACUGAUCGGCCACAUUGGGACUGAGACACGGCCCAAACUCCUACGGGAGGCAGCAGUAGGGAAUCUUCCACAAUGGACGCGAGUCUGAUGGAGCAACGCCGCGUGAGUGAAGAAGGGUUUCGGCUCGUAAAGCUCUGUUGUUGGUGAAGAAGGACAGGGGUAGUAACUGACCUUUGUUUGACGGUAAUCAAUGAGAAAGUCACGGCUAACUACGUG